This 662-nucleotide ribosomal RNA is filed under the name uncultured Lachnospiraceae bacterium. RNAcentral describes it as "bacterial SSU rRNA". It matches the Rfam family "Bacterial small subunit ribosomal RNA", at positions 73 to 751 of the family's 1533-position model. Lineage: Bacteria; Bacillati; Bacillota; Clostridia; Lachnospirales; Lachnospiraceae. The record is from RNAcentral.
UUCGGAUGAUUCUUGACUGACUGAGCGGCGGACGGGUGAGUAACGCGUGGGUGACCUGCCCCAUACCGGGGGAUAACAGCUGGAAACGGCUGCUAAUACCGCAUAAGCGCACGGUUCCGCAUGGAACAGUGUGAAAAACUCCGGUGGUGUGAGAUGGACCCGCGUCUGAUUAGCCAGUUGGCGGGGUAACGGCCCACCAAAGCGACGAUCAGUAGCCGGCCUGAGAGGGUGAACGGCCACAUUGGGACUGAGACACGGCCCAAACUCCUACGGGAGGCAGCAGUGGGGAAUAUUGCACAAUGGGGGAAACCCUGAUGCAGCGACGCCGCGUGAGUGAAGGAGUAUUUCGGUAUGUAAAGCUCUAUCAGCAGGGAAGAAAGUGACGGUACCUGAAUAAGAAGCCCCGGCUAACUACGUGCCAGCAGCCGCGGUAAUACGUAGGGGGCAAGCGUUAUCCGGAUUUACUGGGUGUAAAGGGAGCGUAGACGGCAAGGCAAGUCUGAAGUGAAAGCCCGGUGCUUAACGCCGGGACUGCUUUGGAAACUGUUUGGCUGGAGUGCCGGAGAGGUAAGCGGAAUUCCUAGUGUAGCGGUGAAAUGCGUAGAUAUUAGGAAGAACACCAGUGGCGAAGGCGGCUUACUGGACGGUAACUGACGUUGAGG